UACGGGGGGAGCAAGCGUUGUUCGGAUUUACUGGGCGUAAAGGGCGCGUAGGCGGCGUGUCAAGUCACUUGUGAAAUCUCCGGGCUUAACUCGGAACGGUCAAGUGAUACUGUCGUGCUAGAGUGCGGAAGGGGCAACUGGAAUUCUUGGUGUAGCGGUGAAAUGCGUAGAUAUCAAGAGGAACACCUGCGGCGUAGGCGGGUUGCUGGGCCGACACUGACGCUGAGGCGCGAAAGCUAGGGGAGCGAACGGG
Molecule: ribosomal RNA, 253 nt
Filed under: uncultured bacterium
Lineage: Bacteria
Description: partial 16S ribosomal RNA
Rfam family: Bacterial small subunit ribosomal RNA
Source: RNAcentral